GUACGUAUGGUGAAGAGGCUUAACACAUUGCUCUGCAAAAGCAACAUUCGUGGGUUCAAAUCCCACUACGUACU
RNAcentral lists this transfer RNA (74 nucleotides) under Caudoviricetes sp. RNAcentral describes it as "tRNA-Cys". It matches the Rfam family "tRNA". Rfam says of the family: Transfer RNA (tRNA) molecules are approximately 80 nucleotides in length. Their secondary structure includes four short double-helical elements and three loops (D, anti-codon, and T loops). Lineage: Duplodnaviria; Heunggongvirae; Uroviricota; Caudoviricetes. The record is from RNAcentral.